CGGCAUAGUUCUAGAAUUUUGGACUGGCAGAGGUCUUAGGCUUCACUGAGAUCAGCGCUUGCACAUCAGGGGCAAGGGAGCUGGGGCCCAGCGUGGUCAGGCGCUGGUAUAGGCUGCUCGUGCGCUUGGGGCAGAAGUGGGCGUGGAGCACAGCCUGGAGCCUUGGAGGGGCUUUUACAGAUGGUAAAUGUUGAAUAAAUGAAUGCAUCUUCUGAAUCUGUCCAGUUUUCUUUUUGUAUAUCUAUCUACAUAUUAGAAUUUGUGUUCAUUUUCAGUUUAUUUGGUCAGUAGAAAGUCAUAUAGCACUUUAUGGUUAACCUUCGAUACAAAUGAUAUAUAGUAACAAAAUUCUAAAAAAA
Molecule: long non-coding RNA, 359 nt
Filed under: Bos taurus (domestic cattle)
Lineage: Eukaryota; Metazoa; Chordata; Mammalia; Artiodactyla; Bovidae
Description: long non-coding RNA NONBTAT002940
Source: RNAcentral